AUUGAACGCUGGCGGCAGGCUUAACCAUGCAAGUCGAGCGGGGGAAGGUAGCUUGCUACGGACCUAGCGGCGGACGGGUGAGUAAUGCUUAGGAAUCUGCCUAUUAGUGGGGGACAACAUCUCGAAAGGGAUGCUAAUACCGCAUACGUCCUACGGGAGAAAGCAGGGGAUCUUCGGACCUUGCGCUAAUAGAUGAGCCUAAGUCGGAUUAGCUAGUUGGUGGGGUAAAGGCCUACCAAGGCGACGAUCUGUAGCGGGUCUGAGAGGAUGAUCCGCCACACUGGGACUGAGACACGGCCCAGACUCCUACGGGAGGCAGCAGUGGGGAAUAUUGGACAAUGGGGGGAACCCUGAUCCAGCCAUGCCGCGUGUGUGAAGAAGGCUUUAUGGUUUUAAAGCACUUUAAGCGAGGAGGAGGCUACUUUAGUUAAUACUAAAAGAUAGUGGACGUUACUCCCAAAAUAAGCACCGGUAACUCUGUGCCACAACCGGG
Molecule: ribosomal RNA, 493 nt
Filed under: Acinetobacter baumannii
Lineage: Bacteria; Pseudomonadati; Pseudomonadota; Gammaproteobacteria; Moraxellales; Moraxellaceae
Description: bacterial SSU rRNA
Rfam family: Bacterial small subunit ribosomal RNA
Source: RNAcentral